GGGAGCAGAUGGGCGAUUUACGCCGUCUUGGUGAUGGUGAGGAAAGUCCCCACUCCUUUAAGCAUGCGGUCCGGCGCAAGCCGGAUGCCCGAGAGGGCAGGCUCUGGAGCAGAAACGUAACCUGUGGUGGUUAUACUAUGAUUUACUUUCAAAGUGAUGAGGUUCCCUCCGUUCAGGCUGAAACGGCCAUUCCCCGCUGGUGCAAGUUCAAAUGUAUCGGGAUGACGUGCUUACAGACCGGAAGGUAGAACGCAUAGUCCAAUAUCGCCUGAAACAGAAUGGGGCUUACAACCUGCACCC
RNAcentral lists this RNase P RNA (300 nucleotides) under Thermoplasmata archaeon. RNAcentral's name for it is "RNase P RNA component". It matches the Rfam family "Archaeal RNase P". Rfam says of the family: Ribonuclease P (RNase P) is a ubiquitous endoribonuclease, found in archaea, bacteria and eukarya as well as chloroplasts and mitochondria. Lineage: Archaea; Methanobacteriati; Thermoplasmatota; Thermoplasmata. The record is from RNAcentral.